This is a long non-coding RNA of Odontomachus brunneus, 1378 nucleotides long. RefSeq lists it as uncharacterized. The transcript has 3 exons. The record is from RefSeq and is a predicted model, not a curated record. Lineage: Eukaryota; Metazoa; Arthropoda; Insecta; Hymenoptera; Formicidae.
GUCAGACACGCUUUAUUCAUCGCCCUCUAAUCAACUCUCUCUCUCAUUGGUCUACUUCAGUGACAAUUAAAUCCUAAGACAUGAAAUAAACAUUCUAAUGUACCUUGAAUUUACGAAAAACUUAAAAAAAACUCGUAUACUAUUACAAAAACCAGAAAGGAGAUUGAUGAAAACGGUCAAGUAAUUGACUCGUCCCGCACAGCAUAAUCUACUAAAAGAUGUCUCAGUUCUGACGGGCAACGGACGCUGUUCAGAAGCCAGCACUCGAUUCAUCAUAUUUCUCACCGCGUGCCGACGACUUCUUCGCCGAUGCUAAUCGCGCGGGGAGGGCCGCGUAACGGAUGCAUGCUGUACGUGCGUGUGAUUUUCACGCGCACGUCUAACGGGACGUCGGGAAGCAACAACGGAUGGCCUCCACGUCCUCUUCGUCAUCAAGCGAGGGAGUGGUUCGUCGCGCACAUGUGCGCCCGCGCGCUCGCCGGCCCAAGGAAAAUAUUUUUCGCCAAAUUUGCACGACGGAGCGUCGAGGAUGCCCGGUUAUUUUGCCGAUGGGACCAAAAUUGAGGGUGGAAUUUCUGUUUCGUCGAUUUCCCGAGACGCCGAAGAGACGUUGAUGAUAAUGGCGGCAGCGGUGGAGGCUUUAAAAGUACGAGGCCAAGGCUGAACGUGGGAUAGAAACGAUUCGUGUGCGGAAAUGUGAGGGGGCGUUUACGUAAUGCGGAUAGGAAGAGUAUGCGGCGAGACAGAGAGAGAGAGAGAGAGAGAGAGAGAGAGAGAGAGAGAGAGAGAGAGAGAGAGAGAGAGAGACACUUCGUCGGAUCGAUUUCGCGAGCCGCUAAAUUUUUGAUAAAACGGAACAUCCAUUACUGUCGAAAAUAUCCGAUGCACGAGUUCCACAAAUUGCGAAGGAUAUCACAUCGCGAAGGCUCUCCCUCGCUUUAUCGCGAAGGCUCUCCCUCGCUUUAUCGCGAAGCCUUUGAAGAUCUCGUCUGAAUUCGAAGAUACAUAUUUACUAUCCGCAUAAUACGCCCGAUAACGGGUCGACGAUAAAAGGAGAUGCAAACGGACGAUGAAUCGCGAAAUGAAAUCGAAGGAAAGAAAAAAGAACAGAAAUGAGAAAAAGAAGAGAAAUGAGACGAGUUUCGAUCGCAGCGGAGAUCAAAGGGACGCAAAGAGAGAGGUAUAUGUUUUAGGUACUUUUACCUAAAAAGAAGAAAAAAAGGAAAAGAAAGGAAAUACACAGCGUCAAGGUUCGAUAUCGCGUUGCGUACGGAUGAAUUACGUUGCGUAACGAAUGUCUGCGCGAGCCACGAGUGUCUGAGCGCGGGGGAUGCGGCGGCGCUAAUUUUAAUUACGCCUUUUCCUUCAUUGCGACGUC